CUGUGAUGGAGGAAAGUCGGUCAAUGACGGGUGAUCGCCGUUCCCCCGUCCCACAGGCUGUGUUGAUGUGGCGGGGUGAUGCGGAGAUGGGCGUGGUUGACCGGGUGCCGUCUGCGGGACGUGAGGAGGUGGUCGUCGACACCAACGCUAACAGUAACAGUAACAGCAGCAGUCCGGGCUCCCCGCCCCCGGUGCUAGUGCGAACGUCACCACAGGUGAUGAGCAAGUCUCCCGAUAGAAACUCACCUCCCGACAUUGUGAGGAUUUCGUCCACCUCCUCGCUGAUCACCUCUCCUCCUAGCAUAUCGAGCUCCUCGCCACCCCCAGCAGACGUCAACCUGGGAUGUGGGCAGGACGUGAAAUACAUGCACGCCACAGGGAAUGAGUCACCGCAAGACUGGAGAGCUAAUUCAAGGGACAGCAGACUUCACUGUUGGAAGGAGGAGUCCCAGAUACACAGUGCCAGCAACAGCCACCAUCCGCCCGCGAUGACCAACUCCGACUUCCAGGUGGAGAUCUCUGAAACGGUCGCCCUGGCUCUGCAGAACCGUCUGCCAGCAUCGGUCGCUAACUCCGCCUUCAACAAGCUCCUCCUGGCAACCGUCGCCAGCCAGAGGAUGGCCGCUAAAGGAGUUACCUCCCUUACGGAAAAGGACCUUAUUGAGCUGGACAAGCAGUUGACGGCGUCUGCUGCGAAUUACGUUACCGAGGCAACGCAGCAGACAGAGGACUCGAAGCAAGUUCUACACAACUACCUGGCUGCUAGUGAGACGAGACUGGAGAACUCUCACAGCCCGAGGCUGGCCGGGUCUCAGAGCCCCAGGCUGGCCAACUCACAGAGCCCCAGGCUGGCCAACUCACAGAGCCCCAGGCUGGCCAACUCACAGAGUCCCAGGCUGGCCAACUCACAGAGCCCCAGGCAGGUCAACUCACAGAGCCCCAGGCAGGUCAACUCACAGAGCCCCAGGCAGGUCAACUCACAGAGCCCCAGGCAGGUCAACUCACAGAGCCCAAACAGUGUUGGAAUUUUUUCUAACACAUCUCAGUCACAGUACAGUUUGACAGACAAAAAAGCCAUGUCGCGUCUCCCACCAGUGUCGUCAUACAAACACUUGGCCGUUUCCGACCCUUCCAUUAGCAACUCGGCACCCAGCAGUGACUCUUACUCCUACUACAGUGACCCGGUGUCAGUGAAUACUUCCGCUUACAGCAGCAACAGAGCAGGCUACAGUGACCGUGAGCCAGUAUCCGUGACUACUUCUGCUUACAGCAGCAACAGAGCAGGCUACAGUGACCGUGACCCAGUGUCAGUGACUACUUCUGCUUACAGCAGCAACAGAGCAGGCUACAGUGACCGUGACCCAGUGUCAGUGACUACUUCCGCUUACAGCAGCAACAGAGCAAGCUACAGUGACCGUGAGCCAAUAUCUGUGACUACUUCCGCUUACAGCAGCAACAGAGCAGGCUACAGUGACCGUGAGCCAGUAUCUGUGACUACUUCUGCUUACAGCAGCAACAGAGCAGGCUACAGUGACCAUGACCCAGUGUCAGUGACUACUUCUGCUUACAGCAGCAACAGAGCAGGCUACAGUGACUGUGAGCCAGUAUCCGUGACUACUUCCGCUUACAGCAGCAACAGAGCAGGCUAUAGUGACCAUGAGCCAGUAUCCGUGACUACUUCCGCUUACAGCAGCAACAGAGCAGGCUUGUCUAGUCCUGCAAGUGUCCACAAGGAGGCUCACAGCUCUCCCUUCACCUACAGAGUGCAGACGUCCUACGCCAGUCCUUCAUCACAGAAACAUUCACCACCAGUGUCAAGCCUGGUGCUAACGAAAAUAUCUGAAUCGAGUGUAUCACAAGAGAAAAUAUCAUCAUCUAUGCCUAGUCCGGUGUACAGUAAGGUACCGGUGUCUGUGCACAGUUCUUUUUGUGACAAGGUGUUUGUACCAUCUUCUGUACAAAGUGCAGAGUUUGACAAGAUACCGUCGUCACUACCGACUUCCAUGCUAGACCGAAUCUCCUCGUCAGAGUCUAACAAGCACCUGCAGAGUUCUCAGGUAGAGGGAACCGACUCAAUCUAUACAGGUUCGAGUUGGAGCUGUGAGAGUUCGCGCCAGACGGGUGAGCACGAUCACGUCAUGAUGACCAUCAACAGCGUGGCCGCCGGCGACAUCCAAGUUGACGACGACCUCUCCGAGAACGUCACCAGCCCCACCAGCCCCACGUGUGGCAGUCCAGCACGGACCCCGAAGCCGGCCCAGGCCACUCUGAAGUGUUUGGUGUGCAGUGACAAGUCGUCUGGGGUCCACUACGGAGUCCUAGCCUGCGAGGGGUGCAAGGGGUUUUUCCGCCGUGCGUUGCAGAAUGUGGGCGACCCGGCGCGUAAGAAAUGUUUCUACAACAAGAACUGCGAGAUCAACAUCCAGACGAGGAACCGCUGUCAGUACUGUCGACUCCAGAAGUGUCUCGCUCUCGGCAUGUCCCGCGCAGCGGCGAAGCUGGGCCGGCGGUCGCGGAAGAUGCGAGAGUUGAUCCGGUGUAUCGAGGACACACAGACGGAGCAGGCGCUGCAUGGACUGCUGAGUCUCAACUACGAAAACAACAUGGCCGACGCAGCCUCCAGCCCACCCGGUGCCAUGACGACGCUUGGAGGACUGGGUGCGCCCGGCGAGAUGAGCAACCAGUCGUCAAUGGCGGCGCUGUCCAUGCUGCUCAAACAGCGGUCCAGUCUGAACCAGCUCAUCGGUCAGCCCAUGGUGGCCGAGCGGGAGAUGGACGACCGCGAGCCAAUCAGCAGCUCCGUCACAGACUUGAGUCCAAUGUCGACGCACCACGACGCCGAGCCGCUCAUGUUGAAGGUGGAGCGGCGUCAGGUGUCGUACACGUCGCUAUCCGACUCAGACAGGUCAGUGAUGACCAGCAGCAUUCAGAAACCGUACAGUGCAAACCUCGUGUCGAGGUCGCAGAGUCUUGGCACUGACCGAUCUUCCAUUUCUCUCGGCGACAGGUCACUGAGCACAAGCAGUGAGCCCGGUGUUUCGAGUCGCCUCCCCCCCACCUCCAUCUCCCCCAUGCAUGGUCACGGCGUUGUGGAGUCGACGCAGUCUCUCGGUGACGCGCUGCACUCGACGUCGCACGUCCGAUACAGUCUGUCCGGACCACAGAUCAUCAUCAAGUCGGAGGGCGGGGGGGAGCGCGGGGGCGAGUCAGCGGAGACCCUCCACCCCAUGAUGCCUCCCCCCACACCGUCCAAUGUGGUGACCUCCCCCAUGUCGUUCUCCCUCGGCCAGCAGCAGGCGUCGGUGAUCGUGGAGAACGUGACCCUUGACCUGAGGAAGAAGAGUGACGAGCUCAUCAGCCGUAGUCCCAUCAAGAAACGCCCGUACAUCCCUGCCCCCGCCUCCAGCUCCGAGGAUGUCCUCCCGCCCCACGUCAAACGCGAGUACUCCGAGCCCAGAGACAAAUACAUCAAGCACAAUCUGCAUCAUCAACAACAACAACUACAGCAGCAGCCAGUUAACAUGAACAGUGGGCGACGCGCCUCCAAUGACUCAUGGCUUCCUCGACACGGCAAGACGCUCCAAAGAGAGUUGGCGGCAGUGAGACCCGAUACCUCGACUCAUGACACAACUCUAAUGACACGAGACCAGGUUCCCAUUGAACACACAGCUGUCGUGACGCCCAUGAUCAACAAAAACAACAUGUUUCCCCGCAGGACGGAAGAGGACGGAACAAAGCUGACGCUGCCCAACAUGAUUUUACGAAUUCACGACUCAUUCGGUUCGACCUUCACCUCUCUGAGGUCACGGUUUGGCGAGAUGGCGCAGAAGUUGCGGGAGUACUGCAGACAGAACACGAUGGAGCGCAUGAUUGGACGAAUCGUUCAAGAACAUCUUGUCAAUGCGGAAAACAAACAGCAGGGCAUCACGACGGGAGAGAUUUCCUGGAAACACUUCCAGAUGCGACUCAACAACACAAUCCAGGACGUCGUCAUCUUCGCGAAGAAGAUUCCAACUUUUACAAACCUUGAUCAGGAUGAUCAGAUCAGUCUGAUCAAAGGAGGAUGUUUUGAGGUGGCGUGUGUGGUGUGUGCCCCAUUCGUGGACUCUGAGACGAACACGAUCUUCCUGGUGGGUAACGGGAUGCUGGUCACUCGUGAAGAGAUGAAGUGUGGCUUUCCACUUGGGGAGCACUUCGUCGAGCUGCUCUUCAACCUGUGCUGUCGAUUCAACGCCUUCAAGCUUCACGAGUCAGAGAAAGCCUUGUUUAGUGCGCUCGUACUCAUAUCUCCAGAUCGACCAGGCCUCAAGAACCGCGAGAAGGUGAGCAAGCUGCAGGAGUUGCUGAUCCAGGCGCUGCAGGCAGAGAUCACGGCGUGCCACCCCGACGAGGUUGGCCUCUUCCCGCGACUCCUCAUGAGCAUCUCCAGCCUCCGUGAACUCGGGGUCGAACACAGACGCAUGCUCGAGUCUCUCAAGGGGCAGAUGAGCUUCAACCACGACCUCUACGCAGAGACCUUUGACCUCAUUCCCUAGACACACAGAUGGAUGGAUAGACUGAGAUAUCUGUCUUUGUCAGUCGAACCCUGUAACCUCUAUGCCGAGACUUUCGAUCUCAUUCCUUAAACACAGACACAUUAGACCCUAUCAGACAGACAGACACAUGAAAUCCUAUGAGACAGACAGACACAUGAAACCCUAUCAGACAGACAGACACUUGAAGCCCUAUCAGACAGACAGACACAUGAAACCCUAUCACAGACAGAUGGACACAUGAAACCCUAUCAGACAGACACACUUGAAGCCCUAUCAGACAGACAGACACAUGAAACCCUAUCACAGACAGAUGGACAUCUGUAACCUAUCAGAUGGAUGGACACAUCUAACCUCUAAGACAGACUCUCAUUUAAUUUCUUAGACAGAAAGACAGACAAAACCCUAUUAGACAGACUGACACAUGUAACCUGUGAGAUGGACAAACAGACACAUAAAACCUAUCACCCAGAUGAACUUACUAACCUAUCAGACAGAUGGACACACUAACCUAUCAGACAGAUUGACACACUAACCUCUCAGACAGAUGAACACACUAACCUAUCAGACAGAUGGACACACUAACCUCUCAGACAGAUGAACACACUAACCUCUCAGACAGACGAACACACUAACCUCUCAAACAGACGGACACAUUAACCUCCGACAGACGGAGACACUAACCUCUUGGACAGAUGGACACAUUAACCUCUCAAACAGAUGGACACACUAACCUCUCAGACAGACACACUAACCUCUCGAACAGAUGGACACACUAACCUCUCACUCAGAUGGACACACUAACCCUGUGAGAUGAAUGAACACAUGAAACCAUGUCUGACGGACACAGUAAACCCCGGUGAAACAGCCUUUGUUAUAUUUUAAAUAUCUUACUGAAGGCUCUAAGCUGAAGUAUUUAGACAUAAGUUUAAUAGUUUUUUAAAACCUUUAUUGCUUUGUAAGUGUUGUGUUCAGAAUUGCUGUUCAUCUGGUGAAAAUCAAGGCUCAGAUAUCUUUAUCACUAAGUAUAUUUGCUUUUGCAUUAUGUAUAGUAAUGUAUAUAUACUCACCGGUGAUUCAGCAAUCAAGGCUGGAAAGUCUCUAUCACUAAGUAUAUUUGUUUCUGCAUUAUGUAUAGUAAUGUAUAUACUCACCAGUGAUUCAGCAAUUGAGGCUGGAAAGUCUCUAUCACUAAGUAUAUUUGUUUCUGCAUUAUGUAUAGUAAUGUAUAUACUCACCAGUGAUUCAGCAAUUGAGGCUGGAAAGUCUCUAUCACUAGUUAUGUUUGCUUCUGCAUUAUAUAUGUUAAUAGAUAUAUCGAUUCGUGUUUUGGAAGUUCAGUUACCUGGUGAAUUUGGAGACUGUUUUGUUUUUUAAUUAUGUUUGUUAAUGUAUGUAUUUUCAAUAUGAUUGUUUUGUUUUAUUUUAUGUUUGUUAAUGUAUAUAUUUUCAAUAUCAUUAUGUUUUUGUAUUAUGUUUGUUAAUGUAUAUAUAUUUUCAAUAUGAUUGUUUUGUUUUUGUAUUAUGUUUAUUAAUGUAUAUAUCCACCGGUGAUUAGCAAGGCUUGAGUCUCUAUCAUUAAGUUUAUUUGCUUCAGCAUUAUAGACAUUAUUUAACUACCCAUUCAAGGUGACUGUCGUAGUGAAUGGAUGUAACUUACAGCGUCUAACUGGCACACCGAUAUCUAAACGACAUACCUCUAUUAACACUCAGAUGAAGCAUGUAGUUAAGAUUUCACUGAUUGAGAUAAACAUUGUAUUUAAUCAUUUGGUUUAGUGCUCCUUCAUCAUUUAAAAAUCUGAUUCAGAUGACAUACUAGAGUUGUUUCCCUUUGUUUGUGAGAUCUUUUUCUGAAUUAGCACAGGUUUGUAAACACAGUAAACCUUGACCUUCAAAACAAACUUUUGUAUUAAUCAUCAAUAUUUGAUUAGGAAACAUUAAAAUAUCUGUAAUGGAAACUCAGGUUUAAGCACAUUUUGUUUUUAAUUCAGUUGAAAAAACGUUUUACUGAAUUACUUUUCCUCUAUGUCCAGAAUGUAAGUUUUAUGAGGUCAGAGAUUAGGUAAAACAUAAUAAGUGACAAUAACAACUGUAGAGUUGUAUAGACAGUGUAAUACGCUGGGUGUAUACAGGUAUGUCAUGGUAUAGACAGUGUAAUACGCUGGGUGUAUACAGGUAUGUCAUGGUAUAGGCAGUGUAAUACGCUGGGUGUAUACAGGUAUGUCAUGGUAUAGGCAGUGUAAUACGCUGGGUGUAUACAGGUAUGUCAUGGUAUAGGCAGUGUAAUACGCUGGGUGUAUACAGGUAUGUCAUGGUAUAGGCAGUGUAAUACGCUGGGUGUAUACAGGUAUGUCAUGGUAUAGGCAGUGUAAUACGCUGGGUGUAUACAGGUAUGUCAUGGUAUAGGCAGUGUAAUACGCUGGGUGUAUACAGGUAUGUCAUGGUAUAGGCAGUGUAAUACGCUGGGUGUUUACAGGUAUGUCAUGGUAUAGGCAGUGUAAUACACAAGUAUAUACAGGUAUGUCAUGGUAUAGGCAGUGUAAUACGCUGGGUGUAUACAGGUAUGUCAUGGUAUAGGCAGUGUAAUACGCUGGGUGUAUACAGGUAUGUCAUGGUAUAGGCAGUGUAAUACGCUGGGUGUAUACAGGUAUGUCAUGGUAUAGGCAGUGUAAUACGCUGGGUGUAUACAGGUAUGUCAUGGUAUAGGCAGUGUAAUACGCUGGGUGUAUACAGGUAUGUCAUGGUAUAUGCAGUGUAAUACGCUGGGUGUAUACAGGUAUGUCAUGGUAUAUGCAGUGUAAUACACUGGGUGUAUACAGGUAUGUCAUGGUAUAUGCAGUGUAAAACACUGGGUGUAUACAGGUAUGUCAUGGUAUAGGCAGUGUAAUACGCUGGGUGUAUACAGGUAUGUCAUGGUAUAUGCAGUGUAAAACACUGGGUGUAUACAGGUAUCUCAUGGUAUAGGCAGUAUAAUACACUGGGUGUAUACAGGUAUCUCAUGGUAUAGGCAGUGUAAUACACUGGGUGUAUACAGGUAUCUCAUGGUAUAGGCAGUGUAAUACACUGGGUGUAUACAGGUAUGUCAUUUAGAUUACUGAUGCUCUGAGCCAGUCGGUUGCUUCGUUCCUGACAGACCUGUUUGUGUUGAGAAUGGUACCAGACAUAUUGGUUUUUUCUAAACAUUCCCAGUUUUCAUCAUGAUCCUUUAAUAUGUUUCAGAAUAAAAAUACUUGAUUUUGUUUUAAAUAUUUUUUUAAUCUUCCAUAUUUAUUCUUAGGAGGUGUUAAAAUUAUCAAUAUUUUCACUAGUGUGCAAACAGUACCUUUUUGUUUUGUUAUCCCCCAGCCCCAGCCCCUUCAAAUGGUGUACAUAAAUGUGUUAAUUUGGCAAAGACAGUUUAUUAUUUUUUUGACAAUAAGCAUACUGUCUUCACCCUCCAAGGGGUGUGGUUUGUAUGUUGAUGAAAAUGUUGAUAAAUAUAAACCAAACUAGAUUAGACCCAUCAUUUACAUAAUGUCCUCCUUUUUAACUUGAUUUUACAUUGAACUGUUUUAAAACUGACUAGCAUGGUGUUUUAGAGGCUUUACUGUACCCACCAUGCAAGCAAAUUGGUAGAAAUAGUGCUUCAGAAAUUAUAAAUAUGAAAAACAUGAUUUUUCAUAUUUAUUUUUUGCAUAAAAUACUGUUUACAAAGUGCACUGACUUUGAUAUGAAAUGCUGACAAAUGGCAGUUAGUAGGUAAGGAAUAAUGUUGAGUUUCAGUCUUUUCUAGAUCCUUUCAACCAAGCGGCUCACCUGGGUAAUAUGUACAGGUAGUUGUUUAGAAUACAGUACUGUUGAAAACUCGUUUUGAUUGGUCAGUAUGUCUGCUGCCUUUUCAAUGCAAGUGAUGAAGUUUAUCCCUACUCGGCAGCACAUAUUUAUUGGGGUUUCAUUUUGUUUACCUUCACUGUGGAUAUUUCUCUUAAACUGUUUAUUAAGUGAUAACUUAUGUCGUUUUGUACCGUGUUUUCUUAUGGCAACAUUGUAAAAGUAAAUGAAUAAUAAUAAGACAAAGGCACCCAUGUGAGUGUCUGAAAGAACAGGUAUAUAUAUAUGGUAUGUCCUGACACAGUGCUUGUAUAAUACACAUCAUGUAAUAAGAUUAUACACACACCCCAACUUGUGAUAACCAUUCUCUUAAUGCAUGUUUGUGCAGAAAUAUUUAAAUAGGGUAUUUUAUUGAGCUUUUUGCUAAAUAUUUUAAAUCGAGCGAAUGUUAAAAUGUUAAUUAUGCUAUCGUGUUGUUGGGCAAUCGCCGUUGUAUAUAUAAAGUGAUGCGGAUAGCGUAUAAGCUAUUUUUGACCCUGUUAAAAGCGUCCGUGUUAAGCGUUUGUAUAAUAAUAUCAUGUUGUUAAUUACUGAAGCUAUUAAUGUUAUAACAUAAUGUGGUAUGGCAGUGUGCUCUUCAGAUUAAAUGGAUUCUACGUGUUUACAAUGUAGUGCUCUAUAUUUAUUAAAUGUGUUCUACAUGUUUACAAUGUAGUGCUCUAUAUUUACUGAAAUGUUUCAAGUGUAUUUGUUAAACGUGUUCCACAUUUUUUUCUACUAUGCUGUACUAACAUAAAAAAAAAGCAAUGUUAAUUUUUUUUUUUUUAAACAUUGUAUAAUAUCAAUAUGAUAAUCUAUGAAAAGCAAAUUUAAUUUUAACUCUUUUAUUUAUUUUCACGUACACCUUAUAGAUGCUGAGAUUGAUCGACGAGGUUGUUGUAUUAUAUUUGUUAAUAUUGAGACAUGUUAUCCAUUAACCAUUAUUAGUAUGUUGUUUUUAACAAAUAUCUGUACAUAGUCGUCUUGCUAUUUAUUAUGCUGGUCAAAUGAAUCGUUUUGCAGAACAGUUUGUGUUUUUCUGCAAAUAUAUUUUUCAUGAUGUUUUAUUUUUAGUAGAUGUUUUGGGGUACUUGUGUUGCACAUUAUUUAGUUGGGACUUGUACUCCAAAUUGGAGAAUGUCAAAUCCAUGGUGCUUGCUAUUCAAAUGUCUGGACAGGAUUUUUUUUUUCAUCAAUCAAGAUACUGUUGUACAGCCUGAAAGUAACAGCCAAUGUUAAAACCGCUUGGUCCUCUGACACAUUUUACAGUAUCAGCCAGUCAAAACCACUUAGUCCUCUGACACAUUGUACAGUAUCGGCCGGUCAAAACCACUUAGUCCUCUGACACAUUGUACAGUAUCGGCCGGUCAAAACCACUUAGUCCUCUGACACAUUGUACAGUAUCGGCCGGUCAAAACCACUUAGUCCUCUGACACAUUGUACAGUAUUAGCCAGUCAAAACCGCUUGGUCCUCUAACACAUUGUACAGUAUCGGCCGGUCAAAACCGCUUGGUCCUCUGACACAUUGUACAGUAUCGGCCGGUCAAAACCGCUUGGUCCUCUAACACAUUGUACAGUAUCGGCCGGUCAAAACCGCUUGGUCCUCUAACACAUUGUACAGUAUCGGCCAGUCAAAACCGCUUGGUCCUCUGACACAUUGUACAGUAUCGGCCAGUCAAAACCGCUUGGUCCUCUGACACAUUGUACAGUAUCGGCCAAUCAAAACCGCUUGGUCCUCUGACACAUUGUACAGUAUCGGCCAGUCGUUUGAGGUGACAUUUAUACCUCCUUGCAUAGAAAAGUCAUUUCCAUACUUGGGGUAUGUUCCAGGUUGUCUACAAAAGAUAACACAAUGUCUUCUCUUCUUAUUUAAAAAAAAAAAAAUAUUAUCUCGUAAUUUCUUUUUUCUUCUUUUUUCUUUUCUUUUUAAGAUCAGACAAUGUCUUGAUGAUAAAGGGUUUCUUUAAGUACCAAUGUAAAAUUAAUGUUUUGCUCUGUCAUUAUAGUUUAGAGCAAUCUGAUUGGUUAAGCUAUAAAACACAUAUUUACUGCUGAAUGGACAUUAAAAUAAUAUCAUGUACCAUGACCUGAUACUGCUUUUUAACAGUCACAGUUAAGAAACCAUUGAAACAGAUUAAUGUCUAUUUAAUAACUGUAUUUUAUACAUUUAUUGGCCAUUUCUUAAAUAUGUAUGUGUAAAAUGAAUUUUCGGUCCAAGCUGUUUUAUUAUUGGUAAAAUUUUGCUUUGAGGCUAUCAGUACCGGUCUGUCUGUUUGCUUAGUCUGGAUCCAGAUAUCAAGUUAGUUGGGAUGAAAAGUAUCGUAAAUAUAUUUUAAAACAAGUUUCAGCUUUGUUUCCAACUUCAGUUAAGUGGCAUUAAGACUAGCAAAUAUUAAACUCAUUACUUGAAUAUCUAAGUUGUUUUUAUUGUUGAUAUUAUUAUUAAUUUUGUUUUACACAAAGGCCAGUAACUGGUAAUGCACUUAAAGAGGGCCUGCAAGACUAUUUCUAAUUAGGUUGCAGUUUUCUGCAGCAGAUGUUAACUGUCUCCACUGAGACAUUUUCUAUAAAUUCACUUACUCAAACUGAUACUGUAUUCAGUAAUGAAGCAGAUCAAGAUUAAGUAGGACCAUAUGCUCAGAAUGCCAGUUUUUGGAAUUAAACAAAAUUCAACUCAUUGCCUCUGGAUUUUAUUUAAAUAUUAUUGCACUUAAUGUAGUUCCUUAUAUUGAAAGUAAAUUUCUUCAAAAUAGAGGGUAAAUAUUUCUUUGAGAUUGGACUAAAAUUAGCUCUAUGAAUUUGAACUACUGGUAAAAGUAGUAGCUUAUAUUGAACUAAAAGUAGUUCCAUAUAUUGAACUAAAAGUAGUUCCUUGAAAUUUAACAAAAACUAGUUCUUUAUAUUGAAAUAUAAGUAGUUCCUAACAGUUAAAAUGAAAGUGGUUUCUUGAAAUUGAACUAAAAGUAGAUCCCAGGGUGUGUACUGAAAGUAGUUGUCGACCAUCUUGAUGGAAUGGAUCCAGUAUUGAGCUAGUUUUACAGAGAGACCAGAUAGAAGGUUGUUCUGUGACAUAUCUUAUGCUAUAUGCACUGUCCACCAUGCAAGCCAUACACUGAUAAAUGGCUUCUCACCAAUGUUGUUGGUUUAUGCAAUAGUCAUGAGUGUAGUGGUCGGUAAACUUUGCUGAGUAAUAACCAAAUUACACUAACCAUAGUCCUAUGCAAUUUAUACGACUUGACACACCCUAGCUUAGUGGUUUUAAUAUCUCCGACACUAUUCCCUUGUACAAGCCAGUAGAUCGUGAACGUCAGUUGUGUGUGUUUUGUACUCUAACCUAGUAGAUUAGUCAUUGAGAGUGCUCUUCGUAUAGAUUUUAGUGGGUCGAUCAUUGCACUAGGUCAAAGGUUGGGAAACUUUUGAUGUGCACUAAACAUUCAAGCAGUGUCCAUGGAUAUGUUAAUGAGAUAUGUCAUUCUUAAAUCUGCUUUUGUUUUUUUAAAUACUAGUUGCAGAAGGUAAUGCUUGCUUUAAAUAUAUUUUAUGUUUGAAAAAUAUAGAUCGUACUCAAAACUUGUUUUGUACAUCGGGUUUGUGGGUGGUUACAGUUUUUCUAUGGCACAGUUUAAUUCUGUUGGAAAUAUGUCAGUGACAUGAUUCUGUUACACUGUUCUGACUGUUGAGUUUCGAGAAAGUGAAUAAAUUCAAAAGUACCAGGCAGAUGAUAUGACCUUUGACCAUGUGAAUGUUUUUCUAUUUUAUUUAAUCCCUUUGAGCUCAUUUAUUGGCUGAUAUAUAAUGAGUGUUGUUUGAUUCUUGUUCUGUACUUCCGAAAGUUCCCCUGUACUAUUGAUUACAACACGAACUCCCAAACCUACUGUGUACUGAUUUAGCUUGUAUUUACUGGACACAAGCGGAAUAAUCUUUGAGUAAGCUGGUCCAGUUAGUCCAAGAUCGUUGUUAUGUGUAAUCGCUUGCUACACCUUUAUAUAGUCAAUGUCUUAUGAGCGAAUACGUUCUUAAGAUAAUUAUAUGUAGAAUAGAAACUAUGUAAAAUAUAUUUUUAUGUCUGUGUAGGAGCAAAAAAGUUUUGUUGUUUUCUUUGCCCUACCUGUUUUUCUUGCUCUAGUAUUACAGUUUUGUUUAGAUUGCUUUGGUAUUUGCCAUUAAAUUUUAACUUAUCAUGUUGCUUCCAUACAUACCUCUACAUGUAUGUGCUAGCAGAGUUAUGGCCCUUCAUGUCUAAAUGGCUGAAUAUCGUGUUUGAAUAUCAUAAAUUGUGUUGUGCCAGCAACAAACCUUACAGCUCACUGCUUCAGUUUGGUCUUUGGUCCGGUGAAUUGUCACCAGAUGUCACUACCAUAUCAGCACAUUCAUGUUUGGCAUGAGUUAUGCCCCUUUGUAACUAAAUAUAGAAGAGAUGAAAGCAAAAACAGAUCAUAGUUUCCAAAAUUGUCUGACUUCACGAUUCAUGAUUGUGAUUUAUCUAAGAUAGAAAAUAUAUAUAAUACCGGUCAUUUAUUUCGUUAUCAUUUUAUUUUGUAAUUUAUUUUCUUUGAAAUACAUUUUCAUCAAAGGACUCUUGUUACUUUAGCUUGUGGGUCAGGGAUGAAACCGAUUUAUUUACGCUUAAAUGUGUCAUCAGUAAUUAGAAGCGCAUCACAGUGUUAACCAAUCUUUCAUAUGUUUCUGUCAAAUUCUCAACUCAUGCUUGAAAGAACAAAAUUAUUUUGUGUGAUUGUAAUGCUCUAGCUUGUUGUUUUUACACUGAAUUAACCCGGGUGUUUACAUCAUCGUUGCCAGCAAAGCUGUGACGUGUUAUUACAACUACAACCAAAAACAUACCUGUGCCACCUGCAAUUUUAACUUUUUAAUGUAUUUUUGACUAACUGUUUUGAGUUGUUACAGCUCCGGUGAAUAAUUUAGUAUUUUCAAAUGAGCUCAUUUAUUUUGUAUUCAUUCUCAUACUUUAUCAUUUAAAAUUUGUUUGUUAUUUUCAUUGUUUGCUGUUUUUAUUAUUAGUCUAAUUAUAGAUAUAAUGUUCUGUUGUAGUUACAACACACACAUUUAACAGAUGUGUGUAUUAUUUAACUUCCUAAGUAGCAACUGUUUAAUUAUUUCUAGAAUGGACUUGAGGAAAUUACAAUAGGAAUUGAGACAAGUUAAAUGAUAACUACCUGUCAAACCGAUAGCCUGUGUGUAUGUUGUAAAACCUGUCUGUUAGGGACACGUCAUGUUGCGAGUUAGCUGAUGGUAUUUUAAAAAUCAGCAUCAACUCUUAGUCCUGAAGAAAAUGGUUUAGCUCAGUGUUCACUUUUGCAUGACAGAACUAUAAGUUCAAAAAUUUAUGGCUGUAAUUGUGACAGUUAUUCUACAGGUAACUUGGUUAUUCUACAGGUAACUUGGUUAUUCUGUAGGAAACGAAGAGUUAUUUUCAUUGAGUACCCAGAUCUGGGAUUUUAUAAAUUUACAGGAGUACAUGUAUUGUAAUAUUAUUUUAAAAUUUCGUGCCAUUUCAUUUUGUCAUCAUGUUCCAUUGACUUUGUCAUUUUAUCAAUACGUUCAUAGUGUUUUAACUAAGCUGUUAUGUUUUAAGAUGAACCGGUGAAUACUAGUAUAUCAUUUAGACAUCAUCAUGACUGCGUACUUCUCAAACAGUUUGAUACUGAGAGAUGUAAUGUUCGCUACUGGAUCCAUACAUCGGUGUUCAAAGUGUUUAGUAGGACUGUUCCACUUUGUCUGCAGGGGAUGAUGGUAAGAGUGAUAGGCAUAUUGUUUUCAACACUAGUCAAAUAAAUUGAAACCAUUUGACAUUCCUACAGAUUUAACACCAAUUAGCUAAUAACUUUAAAGUUUGUUUUGUUUAACAAGACCACUAGAGCACAUUGAUUUAUUAAUCAUCGGCCACUGGAUGUCAAACAUUUGGUAAUUCUGACAUAUGGUCUUAGAGAGGAAACCCGCUACAUUUUUUCAUUAGUAGCAAAGGAUCUUUUAUAUUCACCAUCCCAAAUACAGGACAGCACAUACCACAGCCUUUGAUAUAUAUCAGUUGUAGAGCAGUGGUGGAACAAGGAACAGCCCAAUGGGCCGUUUGACGGGGAUAAAUCCCAGACUGACUGCACAUCAAGCGAGUGCAUUACCACUAGGCUACGCCCUGCCCCAAUAUGCUAAUAAUUUAUAUUCUUCCACAUUAAAAUGUGUAAGUGUUUGACAUUUAGUGUUUAUUUAUUGCCUCGCAGUAGCCAUGUGUCACAUCAUACACCACACAGCACAUCUAUAGCAAUAACUUUUCCCAAACAGUAUAGUAGAACAAAAAGCCUUAAAAACAUUUGGUGCUUGUUUUUUUAAUUUUGCACUUUUCAGUUGCAAUUUUUGUUACUGUAGCAGACAUAUAAUGUUAAAAAACAGUAUGAAUUAAAAUAAUUUUUAUAUUUGCAUAUUAUGUACAUGAUGUUUAUAACAUACACUGUUGUGCUUUUGUCACGUGUUGUACGUUCUGUUCCUGAACCGUGAUGUUUUCAUGUUCCAGGAGGGGAGAAAUACACCAUUUGAGAAACACAUUGUUUCAUUGAUCAUAUGUUUAGUUCUGUCAUCUGACAAUCUAGUGACAUACAAAUAUGUUACCAGUGUAACCUUUUACUUUGAUAAUUUAUUGUACAUGUUAUAAUUGUGUUCUUCAAUAGUCGAAUAACACCAGAUUGUAUUGAAUAUUGUAUAUCCCGGUAGCUGAACAACAUCAUAUUGAAUAUUUUAAUGGUUAUCCCGGUGACAUCAUGUCAACAACCAUUUUGCUGCAAGACCAAAGCUGUCCCGGUAUCGUGCAAGCUGUCCCGGUAUUGUGCAAGCUGUCCCGGUAUUGUGCAAGCUGUAUUGUGCAAGCUGUCCCGGUAUCGUGCAAGCUGUCCCGGUAUUGUGCAAGCUGUCCCAGUAUCGUGCAAGCUGUCCCGGUAUCCGGUAUCGUGCAAGCUGUCCCAGUAUCGUGCAAGCUGUCCCGGUAUCGUGCAAGCUGUCCCGGUAUUGUGCAAGCUGGUGCUCUGUGUGCCAUUCGUUCCACCGUGAGAUACAGCCAGAGUCGGACCAACUUCCACUGCAGACUUUCCGUAUCUCACACUCACAUACAGCAUAUUUUCAUAUCUGACCAGUGUACAUCCCAACAUCACACCGACUUAGCCAUUCAAACGUUUAUUUUUGUUAGCUUUGAUAUUUUUCCAAUUAUUUGUUUAAAAUGACUGAUUUUCCUGUUUGAACAGUGAGUGCCACUAGGUUCCUGUUCUUCCAUUCUGUUUGAUGGAUGACACUGUAGUAACCUUUACAGGCAAUGGCCCGACACUGCUGUUAGUGUAACACGUAUCACACUGACCGAGUACUUUAAUCACUAAAAGUACACAUGAAAUACGCUUUGUUGUUUACAAUAUCGGUGUCUGUAGAUAUGGAUAAUUCUCAGUCUGAAUGCUUUUACAAGCCAAAAUGAGAUUUUACUUGCCAAUGACUUCGUAUGUAUGAAAAAAUAUAUAUUAGGAAGUAAAAUUAUGUUUUAGCUACUACAAACAUUGAGAUGACGAGAAACUCAUUGAAUAUAUACAGACAGUGGUAUUGUAAAGAAGACGAGGUAUUUGAUGUGGUUUAGUUGUUAAAACGACUGGUAGUGGGAAACAUGUUACAAUAGCGGCAAACUGAGGCCUGGCCCUUUAACAGACAAGUUAAUGAGAUGCAGGGUUUGGAACAAUUCACAGCCAGGGUGUUUAGUCAGUAUAUUUAACAAGUCCUGAUAUUACAUGUAUAAUUAAUGCUUGCAAUUUUAUGCACUGUAUUCUGUAAAAGGAUUAAUUUUUUUGCUGGAGUAUUUUCAUCAAGAAACCAUAGAAACAGUGAUCACGACAAAUUACUUGUAGUGUUUGAGCACAAUCUCCUGUGGUUUAUAAUUAUGGUUUGGUUUCUCCUGUGCUUUAUAAUUAUGGUUUGGUUUCUCCUGUGCUUUAUAAUUAUGGUUUGGUUCUGUUCUAAACUGGUGUUCCUCUGUGAAUACUGUUUGUUAAAACUAGUUUAUCUUCUAUAGAACACUUAAUCAUUUGUACAACAGAUUGUGUUAGUGAUCAAGUUUUGCCGAGGGACGUACGUACUGUGUACUCUGCUGUGACCAACUGGAAUUGUUAUGUAUAUGUAGCCCAGCAGUCAAAGACACAACAAUAUGAAGAAUCCUUCUUCUUUUUCAAGCUGGUUGGAAUUGUGCGAUUAGUUUUCAAACCACAGUGAAAUUGUGUUAAUGAUCUUGACCUCUGUAAAUGUUUGUAAUGUGUGUUUGUGUGUGUGUGCUAUAGUGCUAGAUAAAUUAUUUCCUGAUCCA
Molecule: unclassified non-coding RNA, 16722 nt
Filed under: Gigantopelta aegis
Lineage: Eukaryota; Metazoa; Mollusca; Gastropoda; Neomphalida; Peltospiridae
Description: uncharacterized LOC121378724, transcript variant X1
Source: RNAcentral